AUUGAACGCUGGCGGAAUGCUUUACACAUGCAAGUCGAACGGCAGCACGGGGCAACCUGGUGGCGAGUGGCGAACGGGUGAGUAAUACAUCGGAACGUGCCCAAUCGUGGGGGAUAACGUAGCGAAAGUUACGCUAAUACCGCAUACGAUCUACGGAUGAAAGCGGGGGAUCGCAAGACCUCGCGCGAGUGGAGCGGCCGAUGUCAGAUUAGGUAGUUGGUGGGGUAAAGGCUCACCAAGCCAACGAUCUGUAGCUGGUCUGAGAGGACGACCAGCCACACUGGAACUGAGACACGGUCCAGACUCCUACGGGAGGCAGCAGUGGGGAAUUUUGGACAAUGGGCGCAAGCCUGAUCCAGCCAUUCCGCGUGCAGGAUGAAGG
This 382-nucleotide ribosomal RNA is filed under the name uncultured bacterium. Its description in RNAcentral is "bacterial SSU rRNA". It matches the Rfam family "Bacterial small subunit ribosomal RNA", at positions 30 to 414 of the family's 1533-position model. The record is from RNAcentral.